RNAcentral lists this ribosomal RNA (437 nucleotides) under uncultured marine eukaryote. Its description in RNAcentral is "SSU rRNA". The record is from RNAcentral.
UCGUAGUUGAAUUGUGGAGUAUGGCCACGGGAUUCAGUCCUUUUCCCACGGUCUAGGAACGUCCCGACCAUACUCCGAGAACGUCAGAAACUAAGAUCACGGAAGCGUUUUUUACAAACUGCCACCGACUACGCGAGCAAUGUUCGCUGGUGGACGUCCGUGUUUUUUACUGUGACUAAAGAAGUGCGACCAAGGCAGUCCAUCGACAUGAAUUAGAAAGCAUGGGAUAACAAAGCAGCAGCCUAUGAGCUACCGUUUAGGCUUUUGUUGGUUUUAAAGGUUCGUGGGAGAUUACGGGCGUGUAGGACCGGCGUUGGGGGUUUUCCAAAAUCCCCGCGUCUCCUCCUGGCAUCGGAAACGGUGCUUGCGGGGCCUGCUUCGCUCAGGAAUGAAGGAGGGUUGCUCGGGGGAAAACGUACUUGGGCGUGAGAGGUGAA